CCUACGGGUGGCAGCAGUGGGGAAUAUUGCACAAUGGGGGCAACCCUGAUGCAGCGACGCCGCGUGAGUGAAGAAGUAUUUCGGUAUGUAAAGCUCCAUCAGCAGGGAAGAAAAUGACGGUAUCUGAUCAAGAAGCCCCGGCUAACUACGGGCCAGCAGCCGCGGUAAUACGUAGGGGGCAAGCGUUAUCCGGAUUUAUUGGGUGUAAAGGGAGCGUAGACGGCAGCGCAAGUCUGAAGUGAAAUGCCGGGGCUUAACCCCGGAACUGCAUUGGAAACUGUGCAGCUAGAGUGCAGGAGAGGUAAGUGGAAUUCGUAGUGUAGCGGUGAAAUGCUUAGAUAUUAGGAGGAACACCAGUGGCGAAGGCGGCUUACUGGACUGUAACUGACGUUGAGGCUCGAAAGCGUGGGGAGCAAACAGGAUUAGAUACCCGUGUAGUC
This 440-nucleotide ribosomal RNA is filed under the name uncultured bacterium. RNAcentral's name for it is "partial 16S ribosomal RNA". It matches the Rfam family "Bacterial small subunit ribosomal RNA", at positions 338 to 795 of the family's 1533-position model. The record is from RNAcentral.